CCUUGAUUUAUGAUCAAACAGAAGUUUGCAAACGGUUUCUCGAGCCUGGUCCAGAAAUCCAUGAGCUUUAUGUCAUCUGGAGGAGGCCCAGAAGACGGGAUUAUUUUUCCUGUAGCUGUUAUUAGCCAGUGUUUAUUAAGAAGAUGAAAUGUUGAACUGGAGCCCUUUUUUUUUUUUUUUUUAAAUUUUAUUUUAUUUUAUUUUAUUUUUUUUUUCAGCCCUAGGGUGAGGGCAGAGCAAAGGUGCUCUGGGAAAGCUCCUGGUGUGGAAGUGACACAGGGAUUUUAGGCACCACGGGAGUGCCUGACUUUGCUGGAAGAAGGGAUUGCAAAAGGGACAUGGAGGAGGUCUGGAGAGCAAUAAUUCUAAAUAGCACCUCAGGAAUGAUGUCAUUUCGACCGAACGUUGGACAUUGGGCAAUGAAUUCCUUUGGAGCAAGAGCAGCCCAGGGCCACCAGCCAAGAGGGGGGAAGAACUUCCACAGAACAGGGCCUUGCCUGGCUUCAUCCCAAAGAAGUCCCCACGAUCCCAGAGUGAUCCUUGUGGUCCCAGAGGGGCCUCUUUGAUCCCAGAGUGAUCCUGAGCUGUUCCCUUGGGGCUCAAACCAACACCAGUGAAAACCUGCGUCCUCCUCCUGGACUGAGGGGGCCAAAAGGCUGCCACAAAUCCAGGGAUAUUAUUCCUGUGGACUUGAUGAACUCAAUGACUUGAUGAAACAUCAAAACCACCCCAUAAAAACUGUGUGUUGGUGGAGUUUUUAAUUUGUAGGGUGACUCGUGGUGCUGCAAAUGCUCUGAACCGGUGGCUCACCCUCAGGGUGGGGUGAAGGAAUAGCCCUUUGACACAUAACUCUGGACAAAUUCCCACUAAUUCAGCCAUAAACAGCUGAAGGCCUGGUCAGCUUUGUAGAAACCUGCACAUUUUGUCCUUUUUAUCCCGUUUGUUCCCUUGUCCCACCAGAGGCCACCACAAACCUCAGCUGGGGGGGAAAAAAACCAAAAAAAAACCCAAAAAAAAAAAAAAACAAACCAAAAAAAAAAAAGAAAGAGGAAGAAAGCAAAGCAAUGGAAGGGGCACCUGCAGCCCUGAAUGGCCAAAGCUCCUGUUUUAUGAGGAGACUCAGAAGUGGAACUUGGAUCCCUCCAGAAACAGCUUCUCCUCCCGCUGCGUCGGGAGCGACUCCCGGAUCGCGCCUCUCGGAGCCAGGGAAUGAUCUCAGGCCGCUGAGAUCAGAUUUUGCUGAG
This 1244-nucleotide long non-coding RNA is filed under the name Manacus vitellinus (golden-collared manakin). RNAcentral's name for it is "lncRNA (ENSMVIG00005019257.1)". The record is from RNAcentral. Lineage: Eukaryota; Metazoa; Chordata; Aves; Passeriformes; Pipridae.